Molecule: long non-coding RNA, 4255 nt
Organism: Sitodiplosis mosellana (orange wheat blossom midge)
Lineage: Eukaryota; Metazoa; Arthropoda; Insecta; Diptera; Cecidomyiidae
Exons: 4
Source: RefSeq, a predicted model, not a curated record
UCUCUCUCUCUCUCUCUCGGCGUCCACCAACACCGUGACAUUUUCGGGCUGGAAAUCCGAAAUUGUUUUAAAUGAAAAGGGAAAAACGACUUAUUUCGUCGCAUUUUAUCAAGUGAUGCAUGACACAGUUUGUUAUUAUUACAGCAUUUUCAUCGUUAUGCUGUUAUUGUUCGAAAAUAUAACAUUGCCACGACAAUGGGGCCUCUCCAGCACGACUCUUUAAACGGACCGAACAAAAUGAAACAAACGAAACACACAAAAAAAAUUUAUAAACGCAUAUUGAGUAACGACAACAACGACGACGACUGAUUUGCAUCGCAAUGAAUUUAUGUAUCGAAAUUUUUCGGUAACGAAUGGCAUUACGUUAUGAGUUUCCACUUAGUCACGCUUUUCACCCAUUAAACGUUGCGAUGACAUUGAUUCAGGUUCACUGGGUUUCUUGAUAUGCAUCGUUAAAAAUCAUCGCGACGACGAUAGUUGAAGACAUUUUUCUAGACAAUUAUUUCUUUUUGGCAAAACUUUCAAAAGACGCGUUCACUUCAGUUGCAGUCGAAAAAAUGUAGAAAAAAAAUGAUGACAUUCAUAUUCGUCCUUUUGCCCGUUUGCUCGUCCAACAGAGAAAAUUCCACCGCCAAACAGACAAACACAAGAAAUCACGUUUGCUAUCACCGAUAAAGAAUUUGUAUCGAAUGUUUGACAUUCUUGUUUGCCAAAAGAAUCAGAAAACUAAUGAAACGAGCAGUUUUAUGGAUGGCAAAAAUGAGCAAAAACACGAAAAUUGCAUCACAUCGCAUUUCAACGUGGUUUUGAAUUGAUUUUGAUUGUGUCGAUACGUUUUUCGAGUUUGUCUGUCUUUGUCUCCCUCUCUUGCUCUCUCUCUCUCUCUCUCUCUCUCUAUGUCUCUCGUUGUAUACAUUUGGGCUGGUCGCGAAUGAAAUAUUUGCACGCCAGCUGGAUUUUGCGAGCUGCGAAUAGAUUAAAUAUUUACCUUUUUUACGAUGGUUGUGUUUUGGGAUGCGCGUCGGUUUCACGGAAAUUACCCAAAAAAACUCAUUCUAUUGAUAAAGGUCUGUCCAAUUCUAUUGGCAUUCUGCUUUAUUUUUUAAAUUCUUUAAUUUACCUAGCAAUUUUUCAUGUGGCUUAAAUACGCAAAAGCAAUUUCAAAACAUUGAAAGAAUGAAGAGAAAGAAAAAUGUGGCCAUCGAGAGGGAGAGAGGAUCGGUUGUAAACGAAAAGAAGAUAUGUGUAAUAAAUGACCAAAAAUAUUGAAUGAGAGAAUGGCAGAAGAUUGAUGUAUAAGUCUCUAUCUCUCUCCGUGUGUUUUUUCUUCUCUUUUUCUUGAUUUCUGUGUUUAUUCCUUUCAAAUAACCCUGGAGACACUAUCAUUUCCAACCACAUCUCAUCGUAUCCUCUCGUAUUUAUGUUGUUGAAUAAACUAUCAUUUCGACAAGGAGACGAAAGAGCCAGGAACGCUCUCGUUUCAUAUUAGUCUUGUUAUUUUUGGACAGUGUAGAAAAAGACGAAAUCCUCAACAAAAACAAUAAAAUCUAUCAAGUUGCAGUGGAGGCCAAAAAGGCAGAAGAAACAAAAAUCCAAAAGUUAGAAUUAUAACGAACCGCCGAAAUUGCCGUUUUUUUUCGUUCAUUCUUUCUUUCUCUGUCUCUUUCAUCUCCCUUGAUCUGUGUUCGAAAUGUGAUCACGUCCCUUCUUUUGCUUGGCAUUUCCAAGAAAAUCAACGAAAUUGAGAAAUGGUUCAGAAUAAAUAAAAAAACAACGAACGAACGAACGAAAGAACGAAAGAAAGAAGAAGAACCUAUAACACAGCACACGAACAAAGAGAUGAAGAAAGAGAGCUGAAUGAUUAUAUGCGGAUGAUGGUAAUGCAACGAAGACUGCAGGGAAACAAGAUAAAAAUAACGAAUUAUGUGCACAAAUAUGGAGGAGAGCCGAAAAAAGAUCGAAACGACAGGGAGUGUGCGGGAGAGAGAAAGAGAAUGAACACAAACUUUGUUAUAAUAACAGAAUAGACAACAACAAUUUUCGUGUGCCGAGUUUUUUCAAGUCGCUCCUUCUCUCUCUCUCGAUGAACGAAAUUUGGAAAUCCUGAAAAUUCAGAAUGAUCGAGGAAAGGUCCAAACCAAGCAACAAAAAAUCAUAUGAAGAAGACCAAACCAGACUCUUUGAUGGCUUUCUCUCUCUCUCUCUCUCUCUCUCUCUCUCCAUUCUCCAAAAAAAGAUAAAUGCAUUCGACUAACAAUACAAUCGAUUCGAUGUGUCGACCUGACCAACGUAUCGAAUGACUUGCUUCGUUUCAUUUCAUUAAAAAAAAUACGAGGGAGAGAGAAGAGCCCGAAAAUAAACAACAUUCGAUGUCGAAGAUAAAAUAGAGCUGUGCAGCAACAGUACUAGAACUAGCGGCAGACACCACUCAAAAUUACGAAAUCCAACAACAACCUAUGUUAAUGCAUAACGAACUAAGAGCGACCAUUUAAAAGCGCAAUAACGAUAUUGAUCGAGAGCUGGCAUUGAUUUUAUUUUGAAAUGUAAUUAAAUACAAUGUUGCAACGAAGCGAACCAAACGGAGUAGAAGAAGAACAAGUGGACAGCAAAUACCCUGAAAAUUAUCGAAACAGGUAGAAUUUAAUGGUGUUCUUUUUCUUAGUCAACGUUAUUAGACUUUUCCCCAUUCUUCAGUGUGUUAAAAUUACAAACAUCUGGAUCUUAGUCACUGUUUGGAUGUGUUGAAAACAGAAAUGCUUUUGAUUUGGUAAUAACAUAAAUACUGGAUCGUAAAUAAGAAUAAGAACCAGCAGCGAAUAGGAUCAAAACAAAAAAAAAGAAAUACUAGAGAUUUAAAAAUGCACGUGCACACCAGAGACAAAAAAGAACGGAAUAGACACCAGAAUGAAAAAAAAUGUUUACAAAGAAAUCCAUCUUGUUGGGAGAGGGGAGAUUUUUCGCAUAUUUUCGUUCUUGGGACCAUUUUUGAGAUGAUCGAUACGGUCAUUUGCUGUUUGUCGAUUAUUCGGUACUAUACACCUACUAAUUCUUUUUUCUCUUCGAAAAUGAAACCACUCUCUAUGCUGUUGGUGUGUUUUAGCGUAGUUUUCGCUGAUCCAAAUCAUAGCCAUGAAAAACCAUCUGGCACAAAUCUAAAUGUUUACGUCCUUACUACUAACAAAAAAGGGUAUACGCCGCUUCAUGAAGCCGCCUAGGGGAAUUUCUCAUCGAAAAUAGUUUUGAAAUCUUUCAAAAUCUUCCACAGUUUCUGAAAUCUACGUAGUUUUGCCCAAAUUUAGAAAAUCCAUGCAUAUUUAGUGUUAAAAACAAGACAGUUCAGGCAAGAUCACCCGACGCCAUCUUGGAUUUCACAUAAUCCGCCAUCUUGAAAUCUCAUAAAAUUUAUAAAAUCUAUACAAAUCCACAUAGUUUCGAUAACUUUCACAUCUUCACAGUUUCAAACAUCUUCGAAAAUCUUCACAGUUUUUACGUGAGAAAUUCCCCUAGGAAGCCGCAGUUUCUGGAAACACAACGGCGGCCAAAUUGUUUCUGGAUGCUGGAGCUGAUAUAAAUGCUGAAUCAAACCUAGGAUUUACACCACUCUUCUUGGCUUUUGCUAAUUUCAAUGCGAAAAUACCUGGCGGAAAUAUGGAUAUGAUCGAACUGCUUGUUCAGAACGGUGCACGCGUUACUAUAAAUAAGGGAUUCAAAGCGCUUCGUUUCUUUCUGACACAUUUGUUAUGUAAAAACGAUAAAUUAUGUCGUUAGUGUCAUUCAUCGGCAUAGAUUUUGCUUAAAUUCGUGUAGAUUUGAUGUGUAGAUUGGACAGUCUGAGUGAAAUUGAAGACAUUUCAUCACACAAUUGGUCUCAGAGUGUAGUAUAACGUUUCAAAUGCGAACAAUUGUAAUUUUCUUUCGAAUAUGAUAAAUUCCGUAUAAUUUUAGAUCCAUUUUACAAAUAUUCUAUUGAGUUUUCCUUAAUUUUUUUUACAACAGUGUGUUAUAACUACGUUUAAAAUGAUCGAAAAUUUUCUAAUAAAAAGAUUAAUUAGCCUAAGCUGAGAGUUUAUGUGCAAAAAACAUCAUCUAAAUAAAGAAAAUUUUCGUAAAAAUUUGAAUCUGAUGUCAAACCAUACAGAGAGUGUUGAUUUUUAACAGAAAACAUGGAAAGUUUUGUACAUUGUAAGCUUUGCCAUUGUUGGCGUCAUUUCAGGAACCAGUACGCGUUAAAAGGUAAUCUUAAGCCAUUCGUAAG